Molecule: ribosomal RNA, 439 nt
Filed under: uncultured bacterium
Lineage: Bacteria
Description: partial 16S ribosomal RNA
Rfam family: Bacterial small subunit ribosomal RNA
Source: RNAcentral
CUACGGGUUGCACCAGUGGGGGAUAUUGCACAAUGGGCGAAAGCCUGAUGCAGCAACGCCGCGUGAAGGAAGACGGUUUUCGGAUUGUAAACUUCUAUCAGCAGGGAAGAAAAUGACUGUACCUGACUAAGAAGCCCCGGCUAACUACGUGCCAGCAGCCGCGGUAAUACGUAGGGGGCAAGCGUUAUCCGGAAUUACUGGGUGUAAAGGGUACGUAGGCGGCUGAUCAAGUCAGAUGUGAAAGCCCGGAGCUCAACUCCGGGACUGCAUUUGAAACUGGUCGGCUAGAGUGCAGGAGAGGAAAGUGGAAUUCCUAGUGUAGCGGUGAAAUGCGUAGAUAUUAGGAAGAACACCAGUGGCGAAGGCGGCUUUCUGGACUGUAACUGACGCUGAGGUACGAAAGCGUGGGGAGCGAACAGGAUUAGAUACCCCUGUAGUC